Molecule: non-coding RNA, 26 nt
Filed under: Mus musculus (house mouse)
Lineage: Eukaryota; Metazoa; Chordata; Mammalia; Rodentia; Muridae
Source: RNAcentral
UACUCCCACAGAUAGCUCAUGUUCUC